RNAcentral lists this ribosomal RNA (427 nucleotides) under uncultured beta proteobacterium. RNAcentral's name for it is "bacterial SSU rRNA". It matches the Rfam family "Bacterial small subunit ribosomal RNA", at positions 355 to 774 of the family's 1533-position model. Lineage: Bacteria; Pseudomonadati; Pseudomonadota; Betaproteobacteria. The record is from RNAcentral.
UGGGGAAUUUUGGACAAUGGGCGAAAGCCUGAUCCAGCCAUGCCGCGUGAGUGAAGAAGGCCUUCGGGUUGUAAAGCUCUUUUAGUCGGAAAGAAAAGAUCAUAAUGAACAAUUAUGAUUCAUGACGGUACCGACAGAAAAAGCACAGGCUAACUACGUGCCAGCAGCCGCGGUAAUACGGAGGGUGCGAGCGUUAAUCGGAAUUACUGGGCGUAAAGGGUGCGCAGGCGGUUUUGUAAGUCAGAUGUGAAAUCCCCGGGCUUAACCUGGGAAUUGCGUUUGAAACUAUAAGACUAGAGUGCAAGAGAGGGGAGUGGAAUUCCAUGUGUAGCAGUGAAAUGCGUAGAGAUGUGGAAGAACACCGAUGGCGAAGGCAGCUCCCUGGAUUGACACUGACGCUCAUGCACGAAAGCGUGGGGAGCAAACA